UAAAUUUGCUGAAUCCUUUAAAAGGAGUGGGGGACCCGAUCAACAGGGGUGAGUCCGCAAGGAAGGGCAGCUCUUUCUGUCCUAACCCGUCAGCUAACCCCAUAAGCAUAGAAAGGGG
This 118-nucleotide small RNA is filed under the name human gut metagenome. Its description in RNAcentral is "ydaO/yuaA leader". It matches the Rfam family "c-di-AMP riboswitch aptamer (ydaO/yuaA leader)". From Rfam's summary of the family: This family represents a conserved RNA structure found upstream of the ydaO and yuaA genes in Bacillus subtilis and related genes in other bacteria. The record is from RNAcentral.